This 284-nucleotide ribosomal RNA is filed under the name uncultured bacterium. Its description in RNAcentral is "partial 16S ribosomal RNA". It matches the Rfam family "Bacterial small subunit ribosomal RNA", at positions 335 to 611 of the family's 1533-position model. The record is from RNAcentral.
ACUCCUACGGGGCAGGCAGUGGGGAAUAUUGGACAAUGGGGGAACCCUAGCAUCCAGCCAUGCCGCGUGUGUGAAGAAGGCCUUCGGGUUGUAAAGCACUUUCAGUGGGGAGGAAAGGUUGUUGGUUAAUACCUAACAGCUGUGACGUUACCCACAGAAGAAGCACCGGCUAACUCCGUGCCAGCAGCCGCGGUAAUACGGAGGGUGCAAGCGUUAAUCGGAAUUACUGGGCGUAAAGCGUGCGCAGGCGGUCUGUUAAGCGAGAUGUGAAAGCCCCGGGCUGC